RNAcentral lists this ribosomal RNA (606 nucleotides) under uncultured bacterium. RNAcentral describes it as "bacterial SSU rRNA". It matches the Rfam family "Bacterial small subunit ribosomal RNA", at positions 331 to 929 of the family's 1533-position model. The record is from RNAcentral.
CCAGACUCCUACGGAGGCAGCAGUAGGGAAUCUUCGGCAAUGGACGAAAGUCUGACCGAGCAACGCCGCGUGAGUGAAGAAGGUUUUCGGAUCGUAAAGCUCUGUUGUAAGAGAAGAACGGGUGUGAGAGUGGAAAGUUCACACUGUGACGGUAUCUUACCAGAAAGGGACGGCUAACUACGUGCCAGCAGCCGCGGUAAUACGUAGGUCCCGAGCGUUGUCCGGAUUUAUUGGGCGUAAAGCGAGCGCAGGCGGUUAGAUAAGUCUGAAGUUAAAGGCUGUGGCUUAACCAUAGUACGCUUUGGAAACUGUUUAACUUGAGUGCAGAAGGGGAGAGUGGAAUUCCAUGUGUAGCGGUGAAAUGCGUAGAUAUAUGGAGGAACACCGGUGGCGAAAGCGGCUCUCUGGUCUGUAACUGACGCUGAGGCUCGAAAGCGUGGGGAGCGAACAGGAUUAGAUACCCUGGUAGUCCACGCCGUAAACGAUGAGUGCUAGGUGUUAGGCCCUUUCCGGGGCUUAGUGCCGCAGCUAACGCAUUAAGCACUCCGCCUGGGGAGUACGACCGCAAGGUUGAAACUCAAAGGAAUUGACGGGGGCCCGCACAAG